AUUAGAUACCUUGGUAGUCCACACUGUAACCGAUGGAUACUAGGUGUAGGGGGUAUUAAGCCUUCUGUGCCGUCGCAAACGCAGUAAGUAUCCCACCUGGGGAGUACGACCGCAAGGUUGAAACUCAAAGGAAUUGACGGGGGCCCGCACAAGCAGUGGAGUAUGUGGUUUAAUUCGAAGCAACGCGAAGAACCUUACCAGGGCUUGACAUAUACAGGAAUAUAUAAGAGAUCAUAUAGCUCUUCGGAGUCUGUAUACAGGCGGUGCAUGGUUGUCGUCAGCUCGUGUCGUGAGAUGUUGGGUUAAGUCCCGCAACGAGCGCAACCCCUGUUUCUAGUUGCCAGCGAGUAAAGUCGGGAACUCUAGAGAGACUGCCGGUGAUAAAUCGGAGGAAGGUGGGGACGACGUCAAAUCAUCAUGCCCUUUAUGUCCUGGGCUACACACGUACUACAAUGGCUAUAACAGAGAGAAGCGAAGCAGUGAUGUGGAGCGAAACUCAAAAAAAUAGUCUCAGUUCGGCCUGAAGGGUGAAAUUCGCCUUCAUGAAGCCGGAAUUGCUAGUAAUGGCAGGUCAGCAUACUCCCGUGAAUACGUUCCCGGGCCUUGUACACACCGCCCGUCCCACCAUGAGAGUUGGGAAUACCCGAAGCCUGUGAGCUAACAUCUAUGAGCCAGCAGUCGAAGGUAGAAUCAAUGAUUGGGGUGAAGUCG
RNAcentral lists this ribosomal RNA (711 nucleotides) under uncultured bacterium. RNAcentral's name for it is "bacterial SSU rRNA". It matches the Rfam family "Bacterial small subunit ribosomal RNA", at positions 777 to 1488 of the family's 1533-position model. The record is from RNAcentral.